AAAGAUUCGGCAAGUGUGGGGAAAAUCGGUGGAAGGAUGGAAUGAUUCUUAUGGUUUGUGGUGGAUGAAUCGGCUAAGUAAUUUUCUGUAUAGGGUUUGGUAGAGUUUUGAUAGGAGCAUAAAAUACGACAUUCUUAAUGUGUUAUUACCUCCAUUUGUACUUUGAUUAUCUCUUAUUGUCGUAGAAUAGAGUCAUAAUGUAGAGUCGAAAGUUUUUGGUAGAGUUGUGCGUAAAAUGUGUUAAACAUAGAGGAAUAAUGUAGAAAAUUGUCAAAAGCCGAUUUGUGGAGCCUUAGAGAUGUUCUUAUGAUUCUGUAAAGCUUUUACAUUGUCACAAAUUGAUUUAACUUCUCUGAUACUUAGGUGAUAUGUAGAAGAGUUAUGGCAAAAAGAAUCAGGAGAAUUGAAGUUAUGCUUGAAUCAUUGCCGAGAGAAGUGUUCCUGAUGGACCUAGGGAAGCAAAGCAGCUGAUCCACGAAGCCUAGUCCAUGAAGGAGAGGUCCAAACCAAGUCCAAUAUGGAGAAGAAGAUCUAAAUUCGGCAGAAUAUCAAGGAAUAUCCAAGUCUUGAAAAUCCGGAUAAAAUCGGGAGAAUUCCUGUGCACGUCUGUCAACUUCAACGGACUCUCCAGGACAGCUCACAAUGAAUCAGAAAACGUGCUAGAUAUGGAUAGAGAGCUACGGCAGUCUAGUUUCCAAAUCAAUUGGAAUCACCUCAAUAUCUAUUUUCUAGAGGGAGUUAUGACGUAAUC
RNAcentral lists this long non-coding RNA (751 nucleotides) under Fragaria vesca (wild strawberry). RNAcentral describes it as "long non-coding RNA (FVES_LNC004031)". Lineage: Eukaryota; Viridiplantae; Streptophyta; Magnoliopsida; Rosales; Rosaceae. The record is from RNAcentral.